RNAcentral lists this ribosomal RNA (1024 nucleotides) under Escherichia coli. RNAcentral's name for it is "partial 23S ribosomal RNA". It matches the Rfam family "Bacterial large subunit ribosomal RNA", at positions 125 to 1191 of the family's 2925-position model. Lineage: Bacteria; Pseudomonadati; Pseudomonadota; Gammaproteobacteria; Enterobacterales; Enterobacteriaceae. The record is from RNAcentral.
AACCCAGUGUGUUUCGACACACUAUCAUUAACUGAAUCCAUAGGUUAAUGAGGCGAACCGGGGGAACUGAAACAUCUAAGUACCCCGAGGAAAAGAAAUCAACCGAGAUUCCCCCAGUAGCGGCGAGCGAACGGGGAGCAGCCCAGAGCCUGAAUCAGUGUGUGUGUUAGUGGAAGCGUCUGGAAAGGCGCGCGAUACAGGGUGACAGCCCCGUACACAAAAAUGCACAUGCUGUGAGCUCGAUGAGUAGGGCGGGACACGUGGUAUCCUGUCUGAAUAUGGGGGGACCAUCCUCCAAGGCUAAAUACUCCUGACUGACCGAUAGUGAACCAGUACCGUGAGGGAAAGGCGAAAAGAACCCCGGCGAGGGGAGUGAAAAAGAACCUGAAACCGUGUACGUACAAGCAGUGGGAGCACGCUUAGGCGUGUGACUGCGUACCUUUUGUAUAAUGGGUCAGCGACUUAUAUUCUGUAGCAAGGUUAACCGAAUAGGGGAGCCGAAGGGAAACCGAGUCUUAACUGGGCGUUAAGUUGCAGGGUAUAGACCCGAAACCCGGUGAUCUAGCCAUGGGCAGGUUGAAGGUUGGGUAACACUAACUGGAGGACCGAACCGACUAAUGUUGAAAAAUUAGCGGAUGACUUGUGGCUGGGGGUGAAAGGCCAAUCAAACCGGGAGAUAGCUGGUUCUCCCCGAAAGCUAUUUAGGUAGCGCCUCGUGAAUUCAUCUCCGGGGGUAGAGCACUGUUUCGGCAAGGGGGUCAUCCCGACUUACCAACCCGAUGCAAACUGCGAAUACCGGAGAAUGUUAUCACGGGAGACACACGGCGGGUGCUAACGUCCGUCGUGAAGAGGGAAACAACCCAGACCGCCAGCUAAGGUCCCAAAGUCAUGGUUAAGUGGGAAACGAUGUGGGAAGGCCCAGACAGCCAGGAUGUUGGCUUAGAAGCAGCCAUCAUUUAAAGAAAGCGUAAUAGCUCACUGGUCGAGUCGGCCUGCGCGGAAGAUGUAACGGGGCUAAACCAUG